This 445-nucleotide ribosomal RNA is filed under the name uncultured Bacteroidota bacterium. RNAcentral's name for it is "bacterial SSU rRNA". It matches the Rfam family "Bacterial small subunit ribosomal RNA", at positions 42 to 484 of the family's 1533-position model. Lineage: Bacteria; Pseudomonadati; Bacteroidota. The record is from RNAcentral.
GGAGGCCUAAUACAUGCAAGUCGGACGGGAUUUGGGAGCUUGCUCCCGAUGAGAGUGGCGCACGGGUGCGUAACACGUAUGUAACCUACCUUUGUCAGGGGGAUAGCCUCUCGAAAGAGAGAUUAAGCCCGCAUAAAAUCACACUAUGGCAUCAUAGAAUGAUCAAAUAUUUAUAGGACAAAGAUGGGCAUGCGGAACAUUAGCUAGUUGGCGGGGUAACGGCUCACCAAGGCUACGAUGUUUAGGGGAUCUGAGAGGAUGACCCCCCACACUGGUACUGAGACACGGACCAGACUCCUACGGGAGGCAGCAGUAAGGAAUAUUGGUCAAUGGACGGAAGUCUGAACCAGCCAUGCCGCGUGCAGGAAGACGGCCCUACGGGUUGUAAACUGCUUUUGUACCGGAAUAAACCUUGAUUCGAGAAUCAAGCUGAAUGUACGGUAAG